AUACGUAGGUGACAAGCGUUAUCCGGAUUUACUGGGCGUAAAGGGCGUGUAGGCGGGCUUGCAAGUCAGAAGUGAAAUUCCUGAGCUCAACUCGGGCGCUGCUUCUGAAACUGCAGGACUUGAGUGCUGGAGGGGAAAGCGGAAUUCCUAGUGGAGCGGUAAAAUGCGCAGAUAUUAGGAAGAACACCGGUGGCGAAGGCGGCUAUCUGGACAGUAACUGACGCUGAGGCGCGAAAGCGUGGGGAGCAAACAGGAUUAGAUACCCUGGUAGUCCACGCCGUAAACGAUGGAUACUAGGUGUAGGGGGUAUCGACUCCCUCUGUGCCGCAGUUAACACAAUAAGUAUUCCGCCUGGGGAGUACGGCCGCAAGGUUGAAACUCAAAUGAAUUGGCGGGG
This 397-nucleotide ribosomal RNA is filed under the name uncultured bacterium. Its description in RNAcentral is "partial 16S ribosomal RNA". It matches the Rfam family "Bacterial small subunit ribosomal RNA", at positions 523 to 918 of the family's 1533-position model. The record is from RNAcentral.